GACGAACGCUGGCGGCGUGCUUAACACAUGCAAGUCGAACGGAAAGGCCCUGCUUUUGUGGGGUGCUCGAGUGGCGCACGGGUGAGUAACACGUGAGUAACCUCCCCUUGACUUUGGGAUAACUUCAGGAAACUGGGGCUAAUACCGGAUAUGAGCUCCUGCUGCAUGGUGGGCGUUGGAAAGUUUCGGCGGUUGGGGAUGGACUCGCGGCUUAGCAGCUUGUUGGUGGGGUUGUGGCUUACCCAGGCUUUGACGGGUAGCCAGCCUGGGAGGGUGACCGGGCCCAGUGGGACUGGGAUGCGGCCCAGACGCCUACGGGAGGAAGGAGUGGGGAAUAUUGCAAAAUGGGCGGAAGCCGGAUGCAGCAACGCCGGGUGCGGGAUGACGGCCUUCGGGUUGUAAACCGCUUUCGCGUGUGACGAAGCGUGAGUGACGGUAAUGGGUAAAGAAGCACCGGCUAACUACGU
Molecule: ribosomal RNA, 467 nt
Filed under: uncultured bacterium
Lineage: Bacteria
Description: partial 16S ribosomal RNA
Rfam family: Bacterial small subunit ribosomal RNA
Source: RNAcentral